GGAUGUGCUAAGAACAGUGCAGGUGUGGGACCUGUCACCAGCAGGCCAUGAACUGACAGUGCCAAGGGGCUGCAGGCGGAACAGAGAGGGGCUGCACCUGACUCCACACCAUGCAGUGCUGCGACAGGUGAGAUCACAUGGGCACCACCUGGGUUUGGGGACAAGAGGACCCAGAAGCCCCCGCUCACCUCCGCUCCUCCUCUGCACAGCACAGCCACCUGGUGGUGCCAUCUCCCACCUGUGUGGUGUCUAUGAGCACUGACAUCUCUGUGACACUUCACCAUGUCCCGACAAAAUGGAAGGACGCUCAGCCCAGCUCUCCGUGGCCUCCAGUACUGAGCAUUGUUUUGAAAACAGCACCAUCUCAGCUCUUUUGGCGUCGAAGUUCCUCUCUAUCCGCAGCUCUUGUCAGCACCUUCUGUUUAUGUCCAUGAUUGGUUUAUUACCAAUUUGAGCAGGAGAUCACAACAUUUUUAACAGCCUGCACUCUGCUCUUGAAAAAUCCCAGGGGUGAUGGACUCGAAGUUCAAGGAGACACGUGACUAAAGAAGGGAACUGUCUCAGUUACUUUUCUCUUGUUGCUGAGACAGAAUACCUGAGUUAAAUUUUACCAAAGUUAAAGGAGGAGAAGUUUAUUUGGCUCACAGUUUGUAGAGGUUCCAGUCCGUAAUCAGCUGGCUCCAAGGCAGGGUGGCGUGGCAUAGGGGGACCUCAGGGGCAAAACAGUUCAUCGUGUCAGAGGACAGCAAAAGCAAGCGAGCAAGGGCAAGACAAGCCUCUUCUUGUCCCCUAUAUUGUAUCCAGGCUACCGGGACUAGGAUGAUGCUAAACCAAUCAGUGGACUCAUACAGUAAUCACGCACCCUUAAUCCCAGCAUCGCACACUCUAGUUUUAACCACCUCUGAAAAAGCCCCCCUAUGACUGCAUGAGGCUUUGGGUUACAUCUAGACACAAACCAUAAUAAGAAUGGAGAACAAGAGAAUAGAUUUAAGUUUACAGUCACAUGUAAGCUCUAGACUUCGAAUCAUAUCUUUCUGAUGAACAGGUAACUUUUAAUCCAUACCUCAAAAGAUAAAUUUGAGCAGUUACACAAUCUUUCUUUGGUCUAGCACCACAAAAUCCAUGAUUUAAAAAUUUAAACUGGGUGUGGUGGCACACA
This 1159-nucleotide long non-coding RNA is filed under the name Chinchilla lanigera (long-tailed chinchilla). RNAcentral describes it as "lncRNA (ENSCLAG00000023422.1)". Lineage: Eukaryota; Metazoa; Chordata; Mammalia; Rodentia; Chinchillidae. The record is from RNAcentral.